This 437-nucleotide ribosomal RNA is filed under the name uncultured Leptotrichia sp. RNAcentral describes it as "bacterial SSU rRNA". It matches the Rfam family "Bacterial small subunit ribosomal RNA", at positions 341 to 792 of the family's 1533-position model. The record is from RNAcentral. Lineage: Bacteria; Fusobacteriati; Fusobacteriota; Fusobacteriia; Fusobacteriales; Leptotrichiaceae.
ACGGGAGGCAGCAGUGGGGAAUAUUGGACAAUGGAGGCAACUCUGAUCCAGCAAUUCUGUGUGCACGAUGACGGUCUUCGGAUUGUAAAGUGCUUUCAGCAGGGAGGAAUAAAAUGACUGUACCUGCAGAAGAAGCGACGGCUAAAUACGUGCCAGCAGCCGCGGUAAUACGUAUGUCGCGAGCGUUAUCCGGAAUUAUUGGGCAUAAAGGGCAUCUAGGCGGUUUUGUAAGUCUGGGGUGAAAACUAUUGGCUCAACCAAUAGCUUGCCUUGGAAACUACUUUACUAGAGUAUUGGAGAGGUGGACGGAACUACACGAGUAGAGGUGAAAUUCGUAGAUAUGUGUAGGAAUGCCGAUGAUGAAGAUAGUUCACUGGACGAUUACUGACGCUGAAGUGCGAAAGUUAGGGGAGCAAACAGGAUUAGAUACCCUGGUA